Molecule: ribosomal RNA, 426 nt
Filed under: uncultured bacterium
Lineage: Bacteria
Description: bacterial SSU rRNA
Rfam family: Bacterial small subunit ribosomal RNA
Source: RNAcentral
UCGAGAAUCAUUCGCAAUGGGCGCAAGCCUGACGGUGCGACGUCGCGUGGAGGAUGAAGGUCUUCGGAUUGUAAACUCCUGUCAUGUGGGAUAAAUGGCCAGGGCAUGAAUAGUGCCUUGGAAUGAUAGUACCACAGGAGGAAGGGACGGCUAACUCUGUGCCAGCAGCCGCGGUAAUUCAGAGGUCCCGAGCGUUGUUCGGAUUUACUGGGCGUAAAGGGAGCGUAGGCGGUUUGGUGUGUCGAAUGUGAAAGCCCACAACUCAACGGUGGAAUGGCAUUCGAAACGAGUGAGCUAGAGUACUGGAGAGGAGAGCGGAAUUCUUGGUGGAGCGGUGAAAUGCGUAGAUAUCAAGAGGAACACCGGUGGCGAAGGCGGCUCUCUGGACAGAUACUGACGCUGAGGCUCUAAAGUUAGGGGAGCAAA